GAAUCGCCGAUUGAAUAACCGAAUACCUCCAAUAUCUUGGACAAUAUGUUUGCAACUGCAACCGCUUUCGCAUGUUCAGAUCCACGGCCAGUUGAUCGGAGUGACCGGCAAUAUAACCGAGUGCCAUGAUUGCCGGUAAUCUGGUUGCCGACUUGGAGGUGUUAAUUAAUUCGAUAAGAGCGGCGAUACCUCCAAUGUUUACUAUAAGCUGCGCCAACUGAAAAUUUGUAUUACAAAGUUUGAUCACA
This is a long non-coding RNA of Pogonomyrmex barbatus (red harvester ant), 248 nucleotides long. The record is from RefSeq and is a predicted model, not a curated record. NCBI's taxonomy places the organism in Eukaryota, Metazoa, Arthropoda, Insecta, Hymenoptera, Formicidae.